UCUCUGGUGGUCCAGUGGCUAAGACUCCACGCUCCCAAAAUGGGGGGCCCAGGUUCAAUCCCUGGUCGGGGAA
RNAcentral lists this transfer RNA (73 nucleotides) under Ovis aries (sheep). It matches the Rfam family "tRNA". Rfam says of the family: Transfer RNA (tRNA) molecules are approximately 80 nucleotides in length. Lineage: Eukaryota; Metazoa; Chordata; Mammalia; Artiodactyla; Bovidae. The record is from Rfam by way of RNAcentral.